UUCAAAGUUUAAAAAAGUUCUUUGGAACAUUUUCACCUUUGCUGUAUUGAACUUUCGGGUUUUUCUCUUCUUCUUGGAUACAACGGAUAUUUGAAAAAGUCAUUGAUUUGAAUAAACCAAACAGUGAUAUAGAAGGAGUUCACAUUAUAGCAUGCUUGGUGAAUGCUGUAUACAUAUAUAUAUGAGUGGAUGAUCUUUGCUGGACUUGAAUUUUCAUGAUGACUUUCUUGAUGUUGUGUGACCACACCACAUGAGAGAAAUACUUCAGAGAUGGCCAGAUGACUUCUGAGAGGAGGGACAAAUAUUUUAUAUCUGUUGGUAA
This is a long non-coding RNA of Octopus sinensis (East Asian common octopus), 322 nucleotides long. RefSeq lists it as uncharacterized. Lineage: Eukaryota; Metazoa; Mollusca; Cephalopoda; Octopoda; Octopodidae. The record is from RefSeq and is a predicted model, not a curated record. The transcript is spliced from 3 exons.